UGGGGAAUUUUGGACAAUGGGCGAAAGCCUGAUCCAGCAAUGCCGCGUGUGUGAAGAAGGCCUUCGGGUUGUAAAGCACUUUUGUCCGGAAAGAAAUCCUUGGCUCUAAUACAGUCGGGGGAUGACGGUACCGGAAGAAUAAGCACCGGCUAACUACGUGCCAGCAGCCGCGGUAAUACGUAGGGUGCAAGCGUUAAUCGGAAUUACUGGGCGUAAAGCGUGCGCAGGCGGUUUGCUAAGACCGAUGUGAAAUCCCCGGGCUCAACCUGGGAACUGCGUUGGUGACUGGCAGGCUAGAGUAUGGCAGAGGGGGGUAGAAUUCCACGUGUAGCAGUGAAAUGCGUAGAGAUGUGGAGGAAUACCGAUGGCGAAGGCAGCCCCCUGGGCCAAUACUGACGCUCAUGCACGAAAGCGUGGGGAGCAAACAGGAUUAGAUACCCUGGUAGUCCACGCCCUAAACGAUGUCAACUAGUUGUUGGGGAUUCAUUUCCUUAGUAACGUAGCUAACGCGUGAAGUUGACCGCCUGGGGAGUACGGUCGCAAGAUUAAAACUCAAAGGAAUUGACGGGGUCAUA
This 575-nucleotide ribosomal RNA is filed under the name uncultured bacterium. RNAcentral's name for it is "partial 16S ribosomal RNA". It matches the Rfam family "Bacterial small subunit ribosomal RNA", at positions 355 to 923 of the family's 1533-position model. The record is from RNAcentral.